CAGUUCGAUGGCCCUGCAGGCAUCUGGCACUAGCUGGUCAUUUUGUCUGUCACACUUCACUGCCUCGGUUAGCACUAUCUGAAAUCUAAAGUGGGAAUAUGGAUCAGAUCUUGUCAUCCUCUGACCAAUGAGAAGUCAGGGAGUUUGUUUUUAUGCAUCCCUGUGGGCGCUCUGACGAAAGAAGUGAUAGAUGUUGGGUGGGGAGACACCGGAAAGGUAAACGCAGGUGCUGCAGAUGCAGGACAUUCUGCUCGUGUGGAGAGCGAUGUCAUCCUGUUUAUCCACGCUUGAGUGUUCGGAGGAGCCGAGGGCACACUGCAGAAGAGUUGAGGAAAAUUGCACAUGACCCAGAUAAGCUGAGCACACUCUCUGACAAGGUUUAAUUUAAUUAUGGGGCAAUUAAUGAUCAGUAUGAAGCAGCGGGUGGCUGGCACCACCACCGGAGUCGAUGAUCACCCAACAAGGCAUCUACCUGCGUGCAUGGCAACCGCAAUGCAUUACAUGUUUACUUAAGGGGAGAUGUAUUGAGGUCAGCAUGGCAGGCAAUUUAGCAUGGUGUGUGAAUAGUUUUUAUGCCACCUUUGUUGUACUAAACUUGAUUUAUGAAGCACACAGUGUGCUCAUAUCCAAGUGGUCUCCAUUGCUCAUGGGGUUUUUAGUGGGGUUUUUUAAAGCUCAGUUGGUAGGGCAUUGCGUUAGCAGUGCCAAGGGUCAUGGGUACACAUAAACUGAUUAAAGUAUACCCUGUAAUGUGUUACAUUUUCAGAGAAUGUUCUUUACAUUAUGUUAUGUAGGACGAGUUUAUGUAAAAACAGUAAAUCUCAGAAAAUGACUUUAGCUGGCAUGGAAAGAGAUCAUUUUUGCUCCCAUAAUAGUGUGCAUAUUCUGUUGCUUUUUGACCCACUGUCAAUCACAAAAAUAUCCAGGUAAACCACAGGCACAA
Long non-coding RNA from Paramisgurnus dabryanus, 943 nucleotides. RefSeq lists it as uncharacterized. The record is from RefSeq and is a predicted model, not a curated record. Lineage: Eukaryota; Metazoa; Chordata; Actinopteri; Cypriniformes; Cobitidae.